AUAUCUGGCCUGGAGUUGGGACCAUAUGCUCUGUGCAGUGUCAGAGUACUGUACAGACUCAGAAAUUGUAGGGGAGAUGGAAGCAGUCAACCAAGAAAUCACCAUGUUGUUGCACCUAUCCCAAAACCUUUGUUGAGCCACAUUAAUGGCAGGUCGUGAGUAUGUGCCAUCAACAAAACCGAUUUUGUUUUUGGCUGAUAGGGCGACAAUCAUUUUACGUCUCCAGCCCCCAUAACCACUACCCGAGAAGGGAGUGGGGACGAGACAU
Molecule: long non-coding RNA, 268 nt
Filed under: Nicotiana benthamiana
Lineage: Eukaryota; Viridiplantae; Streptophyta; Magnoliopsida; Solanales; Solanaceae
Description: long non-coding RNA (NBEN_LNC001485)
Source: RNAcentral